UUGAGGUGAAAUGCUUACACUUUCAUUUAUAGACUAAAUUAAUGUUUAAUAUUUAAUUUUAAAUUAUAAUAUUAAAUCUUAAUCUAACCUAUGGCAUUCAUCAUUUACUGCAAAGACUACUUGGGUAUCUAAUCCUGUUUGUGCUCUGUGCCUUCGUCCUUUAACGUCAGUUUUCACAUAGAGGGCUGCCUUCGCCUUUACCGAGUCCCUUUGGUAUCAUAGAAUUUCAUCUCUCCUCCUCAAGUACUGCCCUCUUACAUAAAACUCUAGUCAAGUACUAACAUUUUAGAAGCUAUAUUGACCGUCUAGGUACCCUUUAAACCUAAUUAAGAUGAAUAACACUAGUCUCUUACGUAUUACCGCGACUGCUGGCACGCAAUUAGUCAAGACACGAUAUAUAUACUGUCAUUAUCAAUAUAUAAACAAAGCUUUAUUCAAUUUUAAUACAAUCCUAUAGAU
RNAcentral lists this ribosomal RNA (459 nucleotides) under Trichoderma atroviride. Its description in RNAcentral is "partial small subunit ribosomal RNA". Lineage: Eukaryota; Fungi; Ascomycota; Sordariomycetes; Hypocreales; Hypocreaceae. The record is from RNAcentral.